RNAcentral lists this ribosomal RNA (253 nucleotides) under uncultured Roseomonas sp. RNAcentral describes it as "partial 16S ribosomal RNA". It matches the Rfam family "Bacterial small subunit ribosomal RNA", at positions 524 to 776 of the family's 1533-position model. The record is from RNAcentral. Lineage: Bacteria; Pseudomonadati; Pseudomonadota; Alphaproteobacteria; Acetobacterales; Roseomonadaceae.
AACGUAGGACGCAAGCGUUAUCCGGAGUUAUUGGGUGUAAAGGGCGCGUAGGCGGCACUGUUAGUCAGGCGUGAAAUUCCUGGGCUCAACCUGGGGACUGCGCUUGAUACGGCAGAGCUUGAGGAUGGAAGAGGGUCGCGGAAUUCCCAGUGUAGAGGUGAAAUUCGUAGAUAUUGGGAAGAACACCGGUGGCGAAGGCGGCGACCUGGUCCAUUACUGACGCUGAGGCGCGACAGCGUGGGGAGCAAACAGG